Molecule: ribosomal RNA, 492 nt
Filed under: uncultured bacterium
Lineage: Bacteria
Description: partial 16S ribosomal RNA
Rfam family: Bacterial small subunit ribosomal RNA
Source: RNAcentral
AGUGAACGCUGGCGGUAGGCCUAACACAUGCAAGUCGAACGGCAGCACCGUAAGAGCUUGCUCUUACGGGUGGCGAGUGGCGGACGGGUGAGGAAUACAUCGGAAUCUACUUUUUCGUGGGGGAUAACGUAGGGAAACUUACGCUAAUACCGCAUACGACCUACGGGUGAAAGCAGGGGAUCUUCGGACCUUGCGCGAUUGAAUGAGCCGAUGUCGGAUUAGCUAGUUGGCGGGGUAAAGGCCCACCAAGGCGACGAUCCGUAGCUGGUCUGAGAGGAUGAUCAGCCACACUGGAACUGAGACACGGUCCAGACUCCUACGGGAGGCAGCAGUGGGGAAUAUUGGACAAUGGGCGCAAGCCUGAUCCAGCCAUACCGCGUGGGUGAAGAAGGCCUUCGGGUUGUAAAGCCCUUUUGUUGGGAAAGAAAAGCAGCAGGUUAAUACCCCGCUGUUCUGACGGUACCCAAAGAAUAAGCACCGGCAAACUUCGUG